Molecule: ribosomal RNA, 540 nt
Filed under: uncultured bacterium
Lineage: Bacteria
Description: bacterial SSU rRNA
Rfam family: Bacterial small subunit ribosomal RNA
Source: RNAcentral
AGAGUUUGAUCAUGGCUCAGAACGAACGCUGGCGGCGUGGAUAAGACAUGCAAGUCGAACGAGACUUUUCGUUGUAGCAAUACGAUGGAAAGUUUAGUGGCGAACGGGUGCUUAACACGUGGGCAACCUGCCAUGAAGUGGGGGAUAGCUCGCCGAAAGGCGAAUUAAUACCGCAUAUGAUUAGAGAGGACAUCCUUUCGAAAUUAAAGUCGGGGCAACCUGACGCUUCUUGUGGGGCCCGCGGCCUAUCAGCUAGUUGGUGAGGUAACGGCUCACCAAGGCUUUGACGGGUAGCUGGUCUGAGAGGACGACCAGCCACACUGGGACUGAGACACGGCCCAGACACCUACGGGUGGCAGCAGUCGAGAAUUUUUGACAAUGGGGGAAACCCUGAUCGAGCGACGCCGCGUGGAGGAUGAAGGUCUUCGGAUUGUAAACUCCUGUCAUUGGGGAACAAGGUGCAUAUGUUAACUGCGUGUGCAUUGAUAGUACCCGAAGAGGAAGAGACGGCUAACUCUGUGCCAGCAGCCGCGGUAAUUC